This is a non-coding RNA of Schizosaccharomyces pombe (fission yeast), 897 nucleotides long. The record is from the annotation of a GenBank genome assembly. Lineage: Eukaryota; Fungi; Ascomycota; Schizosaccharomycetes; Schizosaccharomycetales; Schizosaccharomycetaceae.
CGUUGUUACCCACAAUCACUAAUAAAUGAUUAUUGAAUUCUUGGCAAAAUAAAAAAGAUUAUAGAAUAAUGUGUUUUUGAAGCAUUUUCAUCUUUGACUUCUCUUGCUUUGCAAAGGAUACCAUCGUUGAGAGAACUUAGGGUAAAAAUCGCUUAUAAAAGAAUGACGAUUUCUUUUGCCGUAGGAAACUAUUCCAGAAAUAUGAGCUAUUUACUAAACUUUGUAUCAAUUUGGAUUUCUCCCCAAGAAAAAGAAUCUCUUAAAGAGCGUAAAUCAUGUUAUAGAGACUGUGUUCGAAAUUGAUAAGCGGUUUGUUUAUAUGGAAUUCAUCAACGUUUCUCAAAUGCCCAGAUCCAUUAAAUUUGAUCUGUCUUAAAUAAAUUUUGGAUGUUGAUUUUUAACUAAUUCUUUUCUAGAAGAUAUUUGAUAAAACCGAAUUGACAAUUUGAUAUCUGCAUUUUUGUCAUUGCUGGUCUUGAUACAUCUAAGAAUCAUUGAUCUCUACUGCCUAUCUGCCAUUGAUUCAAAUAUUAUGCGUAAAAAUAGAUGUAAAUUGUUUAUAACAUGAUGAUUGAUUAACAAAAUUGGCAUACAUUCUUGGCAUUCUGGAGUCUUGAGGCCGAUAAAUAAAAACUUAAGAAACAAAGCGAUCAAUUGAAGUGAAAUUAUUGUUAAAAAAAGGGAAAAAAAGACAUAUUAAAAUCAAUUUUGGAAUAAAACUUGAUUUUCUAAGCGGCUUCGAUUUAGCACUCGCACCUUGCAUGGAUACUCUGAUCAAGCUCACGCCACUGAUUUGAAUGCGAAUUAAAAAAAAGUCAAUUCAAAUAGUCAUCAAUAAAUAAUAGCAAUAAAAAAUUUAAUCAUAGACAAAUUUGAAAUAAUAUAACAAUUAUAGAC